Vanessa atalanta (red admiral) is the source of this 859-nucleotide RNA transcript. RefSeq lists it as uncharacterized. The transcript is spliced from 6 exons. The record is from RefSeq and is a predicted model, not a curated record. Lineage: Eukaryota; Metazoa; Arthropoda; Insecta; Lepidoptera; Nymphalidae.
UCGCUUAUAUAGUUUUAAUUAUUUUGUUAUUGAAAGUCUGAACAAAAAAUGUGUAUAAAUAUCGAAGUGAUUUUACCAACUAUAGAAAAGUUCUUAAUGUUGUAUCCUUUGCGAUGUGGUUGCAUUUUAAUACACUUCUGGACUACGUUACGAGCGGGGUUCUGUAUGGUAUUCUAUUCAACAGUAAUCUUAGAGGUUUUAAUUGGCGAAGAGACACCGUUCGGUGCUUGGCUGGUUACUGGGAAACCCGUCACAGAUAACCUAUAUCUCGUUUAUUAUACACUUUUAGUGUUAUUAUUGUGUGAGACAGUCUUGCUUAUAUUUUUGUUGCACUUAGCGAUCGGAUUACACUGUUUCAACUUAUACCUGAUACAGCAUUACUUAAUAUGUCGUUUCUUGACAUGGCUUAUUGAAAUGGGAGGGCUAUUUAUUUUGUGCCUGGCUCAUAAACUACUAAUAGGAUGGUAUUUGGGCAUAUUAUUCUUUAUUAUUCUAGAGUUUUAUUCUUUCAUCGUGGUCUACAGUUAUUAUGUCAAUCAACUAGAAAAUCAAAUAGAAGGAGAAAAACACAUUUGUUAAGAAGUCAUUACCAUUUUGCCCUAAUGUCUUUAUAGUGUUGUGAUUAUUAAUGAAGAUGGCCUUUGAACUGCCUAGAUUGAAGAAGUGUUGUUGUUGUUUACCGUUGAGAGCAGGAUCGCUUGUUAUUGGAUAUCUUUCUACUGUAUUUUCACUGUUCUGUCUAGGUAUUCUGUCCUUUUCACUCUACAAAGUAGUAACAUUUGUUCAAACACAUCAAAAAGACCCGGACCCGGAACACACGCCCGAAGAAUACGAACAAGUUUCUAAGAGUCUUUACAUA